RNAcentral lists this ribosomal RNA (253 nucleotides) under uncultured bacterium. Its description in RNAcentral is "partial 16S ribosomal RNA". It matches the Rfam family "Bacterial small subunit ribosomal RNA", at positions 524 to 776 of the family's 1533-position model. The record is from RNAcentral.
UACGAAGGGAGCGAGCGUUGUUCGGAAUCACUGGGCUUAAAGCGUACGUAGGCGGAUUUACAAGUCAGGAGUGAAAUCCCAGGGCUUAACCCUGGAAUUGCUUUUGAAACUGUGAGUCUGGAAUCCGGUAGAGGUUGGCGGAACUCCGAGUGUAGAGGUGAAAUUCGCAGAUAUUCGGAAGAACACCAGUGGCGAAGGCGGCCAACUGGACCGGUAUUGACGCUGAGGUAAGAAAGCGUGGGUAGCAAACAGG